This 253-nucleotide ribosomal RNA is filed under the name uncultured bacterium. RNAcentral describes it as "partial 16S ribosomal RNA". It matches the Rfam family "Bacterial small subunit ribosomal RNA", at positions 524 to 776 of the family's 1533-position model. The record is from RNAcentral.
UACGAAGGGGGCUAGCGUUGUUCGGAAUUACUGGGCGUAAAGCGUACGCAGGCGGCUUUGCAAGACAGGUGUGAAAUCCCCGGGCCUAACCUGGGAACUGCAUUUGUGACUGCAUGGCUAGAGUCUGUCAGAGGGGGGUGGAAUUCCACGUGUAGCAGUGAAAUGCGUAGAGAUGUGGAAGAACACCGAUGGCGAAGGCAGCCCCCUGGGAUGAGACUGACGCUCAUGUACGAAAGCGUGGGGAGCAAACAGG